ACGGGUUGAAUGUUAGCUCAAGUCCUCGUAGAAGAACACUGACCCGCAAGACAUUCACUCGUGGAUAUCUAUCUCUAGCGAUUUUCGUAUUUGUUCCUAUACCGUUGGGAGCGGUUAUAACUCGCGUCGUGAGAGCCGCACGGGGCGCUCUGAGGCCGAGCGGACACUGAGCUCACUCUCGGGGCCUUUCCUCACGGAGGAGAACGCAACAGCAGCAGCAGCACAAGGAGGGAAGUAAAACCACACGACGAGGCGACAUCUUCUUUUAUUUCCCACGGCAACUUAUUACGACUUCCCUUGGUUGGGUGUAUGCGAUGCAGAAUGAGAGAGGGAGAGAAAGCGAGAGAGAAACAUAAAGACGGAGAAGGAGAAAACCCAAUAACUCAACUUCUUCUUCAAUAUUCGGUAGGCUCGUUGUUCGUGGAAACUGCACUCGAGGAUCUUCUUUAAAUAUUUGUUAUGCGUUAGGCUCGAGGGAGUGUUCCGUUUGAUUCAACGUUCACUUCGAAUAUAUUCCUGGUAGUAUAUACUUGUCUUUCUACUUUUUCGAUGAACUUCAUUCAUUU
Polistes canadensis is the source of this 566-nucleotide long non-coding RNA. RefSeq lists it as uncharacterized. The transcript is spliced from 3 exons. The record is from RefSeq and is a predicted model, not a curated record. NCBI's taxonomy places the organism in Eukaryota, Metazoa, Arthropoda, Insecta, Hymenoptera, Vespidae.